RNAcentral lists this non-coding RNA (28 nucleotides) under Rattus norvegicus (Norway rat). The record is from RNAcentral. Lineage: Eukaryota; Metazoa; Chordata; Mammalia; Rodentia; Muridae.
AGGAGCCUGUCUGUGAAGGGUACACUCU